GGAAAGGCCAUGUGCUGGCGUUCCAGUCGACAGUUCCAGCAUUCAAGCCAGGUUCAGUGGGAAAAUGACAACAUCUACUUACAGAACUAUUGACAUCAACAGCCAUUUCUGCCAGAAGUAUGAGCCUUUGUAAAGUGGUUAGUUUGGUGGAGAGGACCCAUUAUCAGGAUGAAGAUAAGAAGAAGUAAAUGAGACAUGAAUUAGUAGAAAGAUUGACAAGUGUAGCCAAGUCAGACUUUGAUUUCAACUGGAAGCAGGAGAUCAGCCUGAUUACCCAGGCGAACAUCGUGCAGAGCAAUACAGUGGCUGGGAGUGGGACUCCCAUUUAACAGAUAGGGAACUAGAGGCAUUAACAAGAGAAGGAAACUGGUGCACUGCCCAUGGGCAUUAACCAAAACCACUCUUACAGAAAGCUCAGCCUUUGUCCUCUUCCAAUUCAUAUGUCACACAUAGAUGUCCGCCCCCCCCCAAGAAGUCUGAAUCUGAGAAUAAGAUGUGCCUAGUAGAGUAUGAGCAACUCUAGUAGUGCCAAAUGAAUACUGCUGGCUGGCUGGCUGAGUAGAUGGAUGGAAGCAUGGGCGGAUGGCCAGAUGGCCAAAUACUGAGCUACCAGGAGGGCUCAAGGAAUAGUAGGUUAAGGGAGAGGAACUUCACUCCUAAGAUUGCAACUAUGAUCAAGAAUCCCAUGUUCAGGGCUUCCCUGGUGGCGCAGUGGUUCAGAGUCUGCCUGCCAAUGCAGGGGAUGCGGGUUCGGGCCCUGGUCUGGGAGGAUCCCACAUGCCGCGGAGCAACUGGGCCCGUGAGCCACGACUACUGAGCCUGCACAUCGGGAGCCUGUAAGAAAAAAGAAUCCCAUGUUCUCAGGCUUCACUGGUGGUGCAGUGGUUAAGAAUCCGCCUGCCAGUGCAUGGGACACGGGUUCGAUCCCUGGUCUGGGAAGAUCCCACAUGACGUGGAGCAACUAAGCCCGUGAGCCACAACUACUGAGCCUGCGCUCUAGACGCUCUAGAGCCCGCGAGCCACAACUACUGAGCCCGUGCACCACAACUACUGAAGCCCGUGCGCCUAGAGCCUGUGCUCCACAACAAGAGAAGCCACCACAAUGAGAAGCCCGCUCACCGCAAUGAAGAGUAGCCCCCGCUCACUGCAACUAGAGAAAGCCCUCGCACAGCAACGAAGACCCCAGCGCAGCCAAUAAAUAAAUAAAUAAAUAAAUAAGUUUAUAAGAAUCCCAUGUUCUCAAAGGUGGCAGCAAAGCUGGGAGCCUGCAGAGCUGGAAAGACCCAGAGACCAGAGAGAAAAGCCAGAACAGCAAUUUACCAAGCCCAAGUACAUAGUUGAUUUGUCUUUCUUCUGCAUAUUUAUGAAGCUGUUG
Eubalaena glacialis (North Atlantic right whale) is the source of this 1375-nucleotide long non-coding RNA. RefSeq lists it as uncharacterized. The record is from RefSeq and is a predicted model, not a curated record. The transcript is spliced from 4 exons. NCBI's taxonomy places the organism in Eukaryota, Metazoa, Chordata, Mammalia, Artiodactyla, Balaenidae.